UACGGAAGGGGCUAGCGUUGUUCGGAAUCAUUGGGCGUAAAGGGCGCGUAGGUGGUCUUGUGUGUCUUCCGUGAAAGCCCACGGCUCAACCGUGGUGUGUCGGGGGAAACUGCAGGACUUGAGGCUGGGAGGGGCUGGUGGAAUUCCCUGUGUAGCGGUGAAAUGCGUAGAGAUGGGGGAGAACACGCGUGGCGAAGGCGGCCAGCUAGACCAGUUCUGACACUGAGGCGCGACAGCGUGGGGAGCAAACAGG
Molecule: ribosomal RNA, 253 nt
Filed under: uncultured bacterium
Lineage: Bacteria
Description: partial 16S ribosomal RNA
Rfam family: Bacterial small subunit ribosomal RNA
Source: RNAcentral